This 483-nucleotide ribosomal RNA is filed under the name uncultured bacterium. Its description in RNAcentral is "partial 16S ribosomal RNA". It matches the Rfam family "Bacterial small subunit ribosomal RNA", at positions 28 to 523 of the family's 1533-position model. The record is from RNAcentral.
GACGAACGCUGGCGGCGUGCUUAACACAUGCAAGUCGAACGAUGAAGCUGGAGCUUGCUCCGGUGGAUUAGUGGCGAACGGGUGAGUAACACGUGAGCAAUCUGCCCUUGACUCUGGGAUAACUGCGGGAAACUGUAGCUAAUACCGGAUACGAGGCUUGGAGGCAUCUCCAGGUCUGGAAAGAAUUUCGGUCAAGGAUGAGCUCGCGGCCUAUCAGCUAGUUGGUGAGGUAAUGGCUCACCAAGGCGACGACGGGUAGCCGGCCUGAGAGGGUGACCGGCCACACUGGGACUGGGACACGGCCCGGACUCCUACGGGAGGCAGCAGUGGGGAAUAUUGCACAAUGGGCGAAAGCCUGAUGCAGCAACGCCGCGUGAGGGAUGAAGGCCUUCGGGUUGUAAACCUCUUUUAGUAGGGAAGAAGCGAAAGUGACGGUACCUACAGAAAAAGCACCGGCUAACUACGUGCCAGCCGCCGCUGUAA